Molecule: non-coding RNA, 1244 nt
Organism: Punica granatum (pomegranate)
Lineage: Eukaryota; Viridiplantae; Streptophyta; Magnoliopsida; Myrtales; Lythraceae
Source: RefSeq, a predicted model, not a curated record
UAUUCAUGACAUCAGGUCAAGCGAGUCCCUCUCGUUCUGCGGACUCCCGACUGACCGCUCAGGCGCUCCCUUCUCGUUCUCCCUCUCCCUCUCGCGUUCCUCAGUUCAAAUUCGAAACCCUAGCGUUCAAUUUUUGAACAAUUGAAGCUCUCCCUCAGUUCGUCUCGCUUUCCCUCUCUGUGUGACAGUGGUGAGUCUGUCUCUGCCGGAAACUGGUCGUCUGCGCCGACCUUCCGACACCUCGGCCAUCUUCGAUCCGACGCCGCUGCCGAUGUGACCACCCCCUACCUUUAGGUCCUCCCGGGUCCCUCCUCAGUUGCCAUCCUCUCGAGCCUACAUCCUCCGUCUCUCCCGAGGCCCGCCCGCUGCUUUGUCUUCUCUCUUUUCAGCCGCUGGCCGCUGCUCGUGCUCGUCCGGGCUCCAGCGACUGUAAGAAGGACUGGGAAUUGGAAUCUUUUUGCUGCUUAGAAGUGUGAAAGAUGUCUCUGUUUCUCUUUGGGUGCUUCCUGCACCAUCUUCUGGUUGUAAAUUUGCAUGCUUGAGCAGAGAAGAUGAUGAUGAUUUUAACGUCUACAGUACAAGCCGCAAUCAUGGAAGAAAUUUGCAAUGAGCUGAGCUCUUGAACUUCUCUAAUCUUACAGAUCUCACCGACACUUCGUCCCUUCUCGAUCCCUUCUCCUCUGAUCCGUACAGCUGCGAGGUUUCAGGUCCUUUAAAGAGUUCUCCUGAUGAACAUUCCCAGAAUAGACAUGGGUAGUGACCCUAGGAGGGCGUUCUCCAAGUCUAAGUCUUCAUAGGACACUACUCUCUCAAGCUCAUUGCCUGUUCUUCUCCACUAAAAGCAGAAACCUCCCAACGCUUUCAAUUUAUCUUGGCAUGGAGGUAUAACAGAAUUUUAACCCAAGUUUGAGCUGCACUCAACUUGAUGCAACUGCAGCUCAAGUUAAAAACCUCUGACUCUUGAUUUUGGUCUUGGAGUCGUAUACAAUGGGUCUACUCAUAAAGAAACUUUAUAUGAAGAAAUCAAGUUUUGCCUCCACUUCAGAUAGUGAUGCACAUUGUUGGGACACAAGGAGAUGUGCAACCUUUUGUUGCAAUCAAGAAACGAUUAGAGGUUACUUGUAAAAUAUGGAUCUUGCUCGUUUACUCUGUAUCUUUUAAUUUUUAUUAUGCAUUUUCAUGCCACUGAUGUAUUUGUAAUUGCAGGGAUAUGGGCAUAGAAGUUGAGGGCUUGUUUGGUUUUA